UCAGGCCCGCGGCUCGCGCCGUCUCUGCCGUCGCCGGACACGACCUGGAAAUGGAAGUCCAUGUCUAGGGAAUAGCUUUCCGUGGCGGGAGGGCGCGAGGGCGGCCCGUCCCUUUCGGACCAAAUUGAAAACCGGAGGCGGCCGGGCGGGAAGCCCGCGCCUGUCUCCCUCCCCCCACCCCCUCCUUGCUCCAGGCGCGAGCGGAGGAGACGGAGCCAGCUGCGGACUCCCCGAGGCCAUCUUUGAGACGGGCAGACGCACAGUCCGUGUUACUAACCCUGUUAAUUAACAUCGGGUGAGCAGAGAAUGGUUUUGAUGAAGGCAAAUGAGGAGGGAGGCUCGUCGUCGUCGUCGUCGUCGUCGUCUCCACCAGCGAGAUUUUAAAAAACCCUGGAACCUGAAGAGGUUGUCCCAGUGGUGGAUCCUAAUGGGACCCCCAAAAUGGAAUGGAAAGGCUGGAAUAUCGUAGGAGGUGCUUAUCGGGACUGUGGCACGGAAUUCCUAAGCAAAGGAGGUUGGUUUCUGUUGCCCAGAUGAACCCUGGAAACCCUGCGAUAA
Molecule: long non-coding RNA, 558 nt
Organism: Talpa occidentalis (Iberian mole)
Lineage: Eukaryota; Metazoa; Chordata; Mammalia; Eulipotyphla; Talpidae
Exons: 3
Source: RefSeq, a predicted model, not a curated record